This 254-nucleotide ribosomal RNA is filed under the name uncultured bacterium. Its description in RNAcentral is "partial 16S ribosomal RNA". It matches the Rfam family "Bacterial small subunit ribosomal RNA", at positions 524 to 776 of the family's 1533-position model. The record is from RNAcentral.
UACCGGGGGGGCAAGCGUUGUUCGGAAUUACUGGGCGUAAAGGGCUCGUAGGCGGCCAACUAAGUCGGAUGUGAAAUCCCCAGGCUUAACCUGGGAACUGCAUCCGAUACUGGAUGGCUUGAAUCCGGGAGAGGGAUGCAGAAUUCCAGGUGUAGCGGUGAAAUGCGUAGAUAUCUGGAGGAAUACCGGUGGCGAAGGCGGCAUCCUGGACCGGCAUUGACGCUGAGUGAGCGAAAGCCAGGGGAGCAAACAGG